This is a non-coding RNA of Brachypodium distachyon (stiff brome), 140 nucleotides long. The record is from Rfam. NCBI's taxonomy places the organism in Eukaryota, Viridiplantae, Streptophyta, Magnoliopsida, Poales, Poaceae.
UUGCUACUCCCUCCGUCCAAUAAAAGAUGUCUCAAAUUUGUCAAAAUUUGGAUAAAUCUAGACAUGACUUAGCUAGUGUAUAGAUGCAUUCAAAUUUAGUCAAAGCUGAGACAUCCUUUGUUGGACGGAAGGAGUAUAAU